Molecule: unclassified non-coding RNA, 240 nt
Filed under: soil metagenome
Description: partial contains 5.8S ribosomal RNA, internal transcribed spacer 2, and large subunit ribosomal RNA
Source: RNAcentral
AAGACUAUAGACCUGCGGAGUACCUGCGGAGGGAUCAUUAUUGAUUUUUAACAGGAUGUGCUGGCUCUCAAGGGGGCAAUGUGCACUCCUAAUAAAACCAAUAUCCACCUGUGCACCUUAAGUAGACUAGUAGGACUCAUCACAGUCUUUCCAGUCUAUGUUCCUUCACAAACCUUUUGAAAUGUAAAUGAAUGAUCAUCUGUAUAAUUAAUAACAACUUUCAACAACGGAUCUCUAGAU